Molecule: ribosomal RNA, 244 nt
Filed under: uncultured bacterium
Lineage: Bacteria
Description: partial 16S ribosomal RNA
Rfam family: Bacterial small subunit ribosomal RNA
Source: RNAcentral
UAGGGGGCGAGCGUUAUCCGGAUUUAUUGGGCGUAAAGCGUGUGUAGGCGGUUUGUUAAGUAUAAGAUUAAAGCCUGGAGCUCAACUCCAGUUCGUCUUAUAAACUGGCAAACUUGAGUGCAGUAGAGGCAAGUGGAAUUUCUAGUGUAGCGGUUAAAUGCGUAGAUAUUAGAAGGAACACCAGUGGCGAAGGCGGCUUGCUGGGCUGUUACUGACGCUGAGACACGAAAGCGUGGGGAGCAAA